Apodemus sylvaticus (European woodmouse) is the source of this 2200-nucleotide long non-coding RNA. RefSeq lists it as uncharacterized. The transcript is spliced from 3 exons. The record is from RefSeq and is a predicted model, not a curated record. Lineage: Eukaryota; Metazoa; Chordata; Mammalia; Rodentia; Muridae.
CUGUAGGCUGGCGUCAUUCCCUCCGGUUCCGGUUUGGUUUCUCUGUGUAGCCCAUCCUCCCGGUGUGUGGCGGAAGUUCCUUUCUUCCGUGUUGCUUUUGGGGCGUCUCCGAAGUGCUUCUUAAGCUUCGAGAAAAAAGGAAUCUCUGACAGUUCCUCUGACAGGCAUGUACCCUGAUAGCGUAUUCAUCUGGGUAUUGUGAACAGUGUCGCCUGAAGAGUUCUUUCAGAGCUCGUGCGACCUGUAAUCAAAAGUACCCCAGAAAAAAAUUCUGGACUCACUGAUCGAUUAUUCAAAAAGACAAAACUUACUGGAGGAGCGCAGGCAUCACGAGAGAUGUAUACAAGAGCCUUCAUAUGUGUGAAGUUUGGCAAACAUGAUCUAUUUCAAAAGCACUGUAAGGGUUUGGAUGUGAAAUGUCUUCCAAAAAGCGUAUAUGUUUGCUGAAGACUUUGUCCCCAAUUGUUGAUACUAUGGAAUACUAUGGAGGAGAGAAACAUGACGGCUUGUCUUGUUAGCUUGCUGGGAUUCGGAAUCGUUGCAGAAGCAGACCUCUGAGCAUGCCUGCCCGUGUGUUUACAGAAAGCAUUAAUUUCCAGAGAGGGGAGAAUGGAAGGUUUCGAUAUAAAGAGGUCAGAAGAAAAGGCCUUGUCACCUGCCUCUCACUUCUUCCUGCGUGGAUGCCUGCGUCACCGAGGCUGUCUGUCAUCAGACUCAGGAUGCUCUUGGCCCUGCAACAGGAACUGAAUGGUGUGGUUCUCCAGGGAGCUUCCUGGCCAGACUGCGGCUGCAGCCUCCAGCUUUGUGGCCCGAGCGGUUACUGAGUCCUCUUCCUCUUCUGUGCAGACAGCUGUUGGUACAUGACCCGCCCCCACCCCCCAACUUCUGUCCUUUGCCAAUCAAAUAACUUUCUUACUGUUCUAUUGCUGUGAAGAGAUACCAUGACCACGGCAACUCUUAGAAAGGAAAGCAUUUAACUGGGGGCUUGCUUAUAGUUUCAGAGAGUUAGUCCGUUAUCAUCACAGGGGGGAGCAUGGCAGCAAGCAGGCAUGGUGCUGGAGAAGAAGCUGAAAACUACAUCCUGAUCCUUAGGUACAGAGAGAGAGGGAGAGACCAGGCCUUGUGUGGGCCUUUGAAACCUCAAAGCCCACCCCCAGUGACUCACUUUCUCAGACAAGACCACACCUCCUAAUCAUUCUGUUGCUUUCAGACAGUUCCACUCCCCGGUGACUAUAUGAGCCUCUGGGGGCGUUCUUUUUGAAACUACUACUCUACACAUUAUGUAUUUUCCUUUGAAUCUAUUUCUCUACAUAACCCUCCCUAACACAAGAAAUUAUGCCAUGUGGAGAUGGCGGCACUGCAAGAGGUGGGAGUGUUUUGGAGGGUGCAGGACAGAUGGGGGAGUGGUUCCGCCUUCCUGACUGCUGCUUUCUUCCCAGUAUAUCACACUGCCGUUCUGGAUUCUAGCUUGCUGACCCCUACUUAGCGCCCUGGUACACAGUGCUGUGAGUCACCUACACAGAAUUCUGAAGUAAAAACCACAAACAAACAGAAAGCAGAGUUCUGAAGUUCUUUUCAGUAUAAUGUGCCAGAUAAUAUCAGCAAUUAUGUACCAAAAUAACCCAAAUUAUAAUUUUUUUGCCUGUCAUGUCACACAUCUCUCUUUGUAGACAUCCUUUUUGAUGAAGUCACUUGUUUUGUAGCCCAGGCUGACUUCCAACAGGCAAUCCUACUGGUUCAACCUUCCGAGUGCUAGUGUUGUAAUGGCAUAUUACCAGGCUCAGCUACACGGAGUAUCUCUUUAUCUCUCUGAAGUAACGUCCGUGAUUGUCAGCAAUCUAAUGUCUUAAAACUCAGCCUGUAAAGUGGUUUCCCAUAUGCCUAGAAUGUGCACUUCACGAACUUUUUUCAUUACCAAAUUAAUUUGCCCGUGUCCGUUAAAAGAAGGGUACGGGUGCUGGAAUUUAGCUUAACUGGGUUACUGCUUGCCUCGUAUGCGAAAAGCCCUAGUUUUAGCCCCCCCAGUACUUCAUAAAGCAAGAUGUGCUGGCACAUAGCUGUAAUUCCAGUACUGGCAAGAUGGGAGCAGGAGGAUCAAUUCAAGGAUACCGUUGGGUACGUACUAAGUUUGAGGCUAGCCUGGACGACAAUAGCCUUUGUCUCAUUAAAUAAGUAAAUAAAUAAAUGGUUGGAUUUAUAA